GAUGAAGAACGUAGCGAAAUGCGAUAAGUAAUGUGAAUUGCAGAAUUCAGUGAAUCAUCGAAUCUUUGAACGCACAUUGCGCCCGUCAGUAUUCUGGCGGGCAUGCCUGUUCGAGCGUCAUUACGCCCCUCAAGUCCCCCGUGGACUUGGUGUUGGGGAUCGGCGAGGCUGGUUUUCCAGCACAGCCGUCCCUUAAAUUAAUUGGCGGUCUCGCCGUGGCCCUCCUCUGCGCAGUAGUAAAACACUCGCAACAGGAGCCCGGCGCGGUCCACUGCCGUAAAACCCCCCAACUUUUUAUAGUUGACCUCGAAUCAGGUAGGACUACCCGCUGAACUUAAGCAUAUCAAUAAGCGGAGGA
RNAcentral lists this unclassified non-coding RNA (358 nucleotides) under soil metagenome. Its description in RNAcentral is "partial contains 5.8S ribosomal RNA, internal transcribed spacer 2, and large subunit ribosomal RNA". The stretch from base 1 to 120 matches the Rfam family "5.8S ribosomal RNA", at positions 35 to 154 of the family's 154-position model. The record is from RNAcentral.